AGAUUAAGUUAUUAAGGGCGCACGGUGGAUGCCUUGGCACUAGAAGCCGAUGAAGGACGUUACUAACGACGAUAUGCUUUGGGGAGCUGUAAGUAAGCUUUGAUCCAGAGAUUUCCGAAUGGGGAAACCCAGCAUGAGUUAUGUCAUGUUAUCGAUAUGUGAAUACAUAGCAUAUCAGAAGGCACACCCGGAGAACUGAAACAUCUUAGUACCCGGAGGAAGAGAAAGAAAAUUCGAUUCCCUUAGUAGCGGCGAGCGAAACGGGAAGAGCCCAAACCAAAAAGCUUGCUUGUUGGGGUUGUAGGACACUCUAUACGGAGUUACAAAGGACGACAUUAGACGAAUCAUCUGGAAAGAUGAAUCAAAGAAGGUAAUAAUCCUGUAGUCGAAAAUGUUGUCUCUCUUGAGUGGAUCCUGAGUACGACGGAGCACGUGAAAUUCCGUCGGAAUCUGGGAGGACCAUCUCCUAAGGCUAAAUACUCUCUAGUGACCGAUAGUGAACCAGUACCGUGAGGGAAAGGUGAAAAGCACCCCGGAAGGAGAGUGAAAUAGAACCUGAAACCGUGUGCUUACAAGUAGUCAGAGCCCGUUAAUGGGUGAUGGCGUGCCUUUUGUAGAAUGAACCGGCGAGUUACGAUUUGAUGCAAGGUUAAGCAGUAAAUGUGGAGCCGUAGCGAAAGCGAGUCUGAAUAGGGCGUUUAGUAUUUGGUCGUAGACCCGAAACCAGGUGAUCUACCCUUGGUCAGGUUGAAGUUCAGGUAACACUGAAUGGAGGACCGAACCGACUUACGUUGAAAAGUGAGCGGAUGAACUGAGGGUAGCGGAGAAAUUCCAAUCGAACCUGGAGAUAGCUGGUUCUCUCCGAAAUAGCUUUAGGGCUAGCCUCAAGUGAUGAUUAUUGGAGGUAGAGCACUGUUUGGACGAGGGGCCCCUCUCGGGUUACCGAAUUCAGACAAACUCCGAAUGCCAAUUAAUUUAACUUGGGAGUCAGAACAUGGGUGAUAAGGUCCGUGUUCG
RNAcentral lists this ribosomal RNA (1017 nucleotides) under Staphylococcus aureus. RNAcentral's name for it is "bacterial LSU rRNA". It matches the Rfam family "Bacterial large subunit ribosomal RNA", at positions 1 to 1013 of the family's 2925-position model. The record is from RNAcentral. Lineage: Bacteria; Bacillati; Bacillota; Bacilli; Caryophanales; Staphylococcaceae.